GACGAACGCUGGCGGCGUGCUUAACACAUGCAAGUCGAACGGAAAGGCCCUGCUUUUGUGGUGUGCUCGAGUGGCGAACGGGUGAGUAACACGUGAGUAACCUGCCCUUGACUUUGGGAUAACUUCAGGAAACUGGGGCUAAUACCGGAUAGGAUCUCCUGCUGCAUGGUGGGGGUUGGAAAGUUUCGGCGGUUGUGGAUGGACUCGCAGCUUAUCAGCUUGUUGGUGGGGUAGUGGCUUACCAAGGCUUUGACGGGUAGCCGGCCUGAGAGGGUGACCGGCCACAUUGGGACUGAGAGACGGACCAGACUCCUACGGGAGGCAGCAGUGGGGAAUAUUGCACAAUGGGCGGAAGCCUGAUGCAGCAACGCCGCGUGCGGGAUGACGGCCUUCGGGUUGUAAACAGAUUUCGCCUGUGACGAAGCGUGAGUGACGGUAAUGGGUAAAGAAGCACCGGCUAACUACGUG
RNAcentral lists this ribosomal RNA (468 nucleotides) under uncultured bacterium. RNAcentral's name for it is "partial 16S ribosomal RNA". It matches the Rfam family "Bacterial small subunit ribosomal RNA", at positions 28 to 507 of the family's 1533-position model. The record is from RNAcentral.